GAUGAACGAGGGUGGCGUGCCUAAUACAUGCAAGUCGAGCGAACAGACGAGGAGCUUGCUCCUUCGACGUUAGCGGCGGACGGGUGAGUAACACGUAGGUAACCUACCUAUAAGACUGGGAUAACUUCGGGAAACCGGAGCUAAUACCGGAUAAUAUUUCGAACCGCAUGGUUCGAUAGUGAAAGAUGGCUUUGCUAUCACUUAUAGAUGGACCUGCGCCGUAUUAGCUAGUUGGUAAGGUAACGGCUUACCAAGGCAACGAUACGUAGCCGACCUGAGAGGGUGAUCGGCCACACUGGAACUGAGACACGGUCCAGACUCCUACGGGAGGCAGCAGUAGGGAAUCUUCCGCAAUGGGCGAAAGCCUGACGGAGCAACGCCGCGUGAGUGAUGAAGGUCUUCGGAUCGUAAAACUCUGUUAUUAGGGAAGAACAAACGUGUAAGUAACUGUGCACGUCUUGACGGUACCUAAUCAGAAAGCCACGGCUAACUACGUG
RNAcentral lists this ribosomal RNA (497 nucleotides) under uncultured bacterium. Its description in RNAcentral is "partial 16S ribosomal RNA". It matches the Rfam family "Bacterial small subunit ribosomal RNA", at positions 28 to 507 of the family's 1533-position model. The record is from RNAcentral.